GAAAUGCGAUAAGUAAUGUGAAUUGCAGAAUUCAGUGAAUCAUCGAAUCUUUGAACUCACCUUGCGCCUUUUGCUAUUCCGAAAGGCAUGCCUGCUUGAGUGUCAUGAAAUCUCAAUCCCCCCGGGUUUUCUGAACCCGAGGUGGACUUGGACAUGGGUGUCUGCCGUCUCGUACGGCUCGCCUUAAAUGACUCAGUGGGAUCUUCAGCGACCGUGGCAGACGUAAUAAGUUUCGUCUCGUCCCUAGCUGUGAGGACCACUCAUAACGUGCCAUCGCGCACCACUUUUGACUCUGACCACAAAUCUGGUAGGACUACCCGCUGAACUUCA
This 330-nucleotide unclassified non-coding RNA is filed under the name uncultured Tremellaceae. Its description in RNAcentral is "sequence contains ITS1". The stretch from base 1 to 105 matches the Rfam family "5.8S ribosomal RNA", at positions 50 to 154 of the family's 154-position model. The record is from RNAcentral. Lineage: Eukaryota; Fungi; Basidiomycota; Tremellomycetes; Tremellales; Tremellaceae.